RNAcentral lists this ribosomal RNA (376 nucleotides) under uncultured bacterium. RNAcentral's name for it is "bacterial SSU rRNA". It matches the Rfam family "Bacterial small subunit ribosomal RNA", at positions 28 to 409 of the family's 1533-position model. The record is from RNAcentral.
GACGAACGCUGGCGGCGUGCUUAACACAUGCAAGUCGAGCGGAAAGGCCUUUUGGGGUACUCGAGCGGCGAACGGGUGAGUAACACGUGAGUAAUCUGCCCAUCACUCUGGGAUAGCCAUCGGAAACGGUGAUUAAUACUGGAUAUGAGAUCUGGCCGCAUGGUUGGGUUUGGAAAGUUUUUCGGUGAUGGAUGUGCUCGCGGCCUAUCAGCUUGUUGGUGGGGAAUGGCCUACCAAGGCUUCGACGGGUAGCCGGCCUGAGAGGGUGACCGGCCACACUGGGACUGAGACACGGGCCCAGACUCCUACGGGAGGCAGCAGUGGGGAAUAUUGGACAAUGGGCGGAAGCCUGAUCCAGCAACGCCGCGUGAGGGAU